Micropterus dolomieu (smallmouth bass) is the source of this 151-nucleotide long non-coding RNA. RefSeq lists it as uncharacterized. The record is from RefSeq and is a predicted model, not a curated record. NCBI's taxonomy places the organism in Eukaryota, Metazoa, Chordata, Actinopteri, Centrarchiformes, Centrarchidae. The transcript has 3 exons.
UGAAGGAGUAAAGGAGAGCCAUGGCCCCUGCCAGGCAGAGGAGGAGGCAUGAGACAGCGGAGCAGAGUGACAGGGCGGAGGCUGCAGAUAGCCCAUACAGCAAGCAACGCCUUCGUCAAGCUGUAAAGAGGAAGGCCACCUAUUGUUAAAG